Molecule: ribosomal RNA, 253 nt
Filed under: uncultured bacterium
Lineage: Bacteria
Description: partial 16S ribosomal RNA
Rfam family: Bacterial small subunit ribosomal RNA
Source: RNAcentral
UACGGGGGGGGCAAGCGUUGUUCGGAAUUACUGGGCGUAAAGGGUUUGUAGGUGGCUUGUUAAGUCAGACGUGAAAUCCCUCAGCUUAACUGGGGAACUGCGUCUGAUACUGGCGAGCUUGAGUGCAGGAGAGGAACGCGGAAUUCCAGGUGUAGCGGUGAAAUGCGUAGAUAUCGGGAGGAACACCUGUGGCGAAAGCGGCGCACUGGACCACAACUGACGCUGAGGCGCGAAAGCUAGGGGAGCAAACAGG